This 696-nucleotide ribosomal RNA is filed under the name uncultured euryarchaeote. RNAcentral describes it as "bacterial SSU rRNA". It matches the Rfam family "Archaeal small subunit ribosomal RNA", at positions 455 to 1150 of the family's 1478-position model. The record is from RNAcentral. Lineage: Archaea; Methanobacteriati; Methanobacteriota.
GUGCCAGCCGCCGCGGUAACCCCAGCGCCACAAGUGGGAACCAUGAUUAUUGGGUCUAAAGCAUCCGUAGCCUGUCUGUUAAAUGCCCUGUGAAAUCGUUCUGCCUAACAGGACGGCGUGCAGGGUAGACUGAUAGACUAGGGACCGGGCGAGGUAAGCGGUAUUCCGGGGGGAGCGGUAAAAUGUGAUAAUCCUCGGAGGACCACCGAUGGCGAAGGCAGCUUACCAGAACGGAUCCGACGGUGAGGGAUGAAAGCUAGGGGAGCGACCCGGAUUAGAUACCCGAGUAGUCCUAGCCGUAAACACUGUGUGCCAGAUGUUGCGUAAUCCCCGAGAUUGCGCAGUGUCGAAAUGAAGAUGUUAAGCACACCACCUGGGAAGUACGGUUGCAAGGCUGAAACUUAAAGGAAUUGGCGGGGGAGCACCACAACGGGUGCGGCGUGCGGUUUAAUCGAAUUCAACACCGAGAAUCUCACCAGAGGCGACGGCACAAUGACGCUCAGUCCGAAGGGCUUAGCUGAGGAGCCGAGAGGUGGUGCAUGGCCGCCGUCAGCUCGUGCCGUAAGGUGUCCUGUUAAGUCAGGCAACGAGCGAGACCUGUAUCCAUCGUUGCUAACGCGUUCGCAAGAAUGAGCGAGCACACUAUGGAGACUGCCUUGGAAACAAGGAGGAAGGUGCAGGCUACGGCAGGGCUGU